UCUGGUGGCGAUGCGCUUAGGGGAAACACCCGUUCCCAUCCCGAACACGAUGGUUAAGACUUAAGCGGCCGAUGGUACUGCACUGGUAACGGUGUGGGAGAGCAGGUGGCUGCCAGAU
This 118-nucleotide ribosomal RNA is filed under the name Murimonas intestini. The record is from RNAcentral. Lineage: Bacteria; Bacillati; Bacillota; Clostridia; Lachnospirales; Lachnospiraceae.